RNAcentral lists this ribosomal RNA (567 nucleotides) under uncultured bacterium. RNAcentral's name for it is "partial 16S ribosomal RNA". It matches the Rfam family "Bacterial small subunit ribosomal RNA", at positions 355 to 1375 of the family's 1533-position model. The record is from RNAcentral.
UGGGGAAUAUUGCACAAUGGGCGAAAGCCUGAUGCAGCAACGCCGCGUGAGGGACGACGGCCUUCGGGUUGUAAACCUCUUUUAGCAAGGAAGAAGCGAAAGUGACGGUACUUGCAGAAAAAGCGCCGGCUAACUACGUGCCAGCAGCCGCGGUAAUACGUAGGGCGCAAGCGUUAUCCGGAAUUAUUGGGCGUAAAGAGCUCGUAGGCGGUUUGUCGCGUCUGCUGUGAAAACCCGAGGCUCAACCUCGGGCCUGCAGUGGGUACGGGCAGACUAGAGUGCGGUAAGGGAGAUUGGAACUCCUGGUGUAGCGGUGGAAUGCGCAGAUAUCAGGAAGAACACCGAUGGCGAAGGCAGAUCUCUGGGCCGUAACUGACGCUGAGGAGCGAAAGGGUGGGGAGCAAACAGGCUUAGAUACCCUGGUAGUCCACCCGUAAACGUUGGGAACUAGUUGUGGGUCCAUUCCACGGAUUCCGUGACGCAGCUAACGCAUUAAGUUCCCCGCCUGGGGAGUACGGCCGCAAGGCUAAAACUUGAAAGGAAUUGACGGGGUCAUAGCUGUUUCCU